GAUGAACGCUGGCGGCGUGCCUAAUACAUGCAAGUCGAGCGAACAGACGAGGAGCUUGCUCCUCUGACGUUAGCGGCGGACGGGUGAGUAACACGUGGAUAACCUACCUAUAAGACUGGGAUAACUUCGGGAAACCGGAGCUAAUACCGGAUAAUAUAUUGAACCGCAUGGUUCAAUAGUGAAAGACGGUUUUGCUGUCACUUAUAGAUGGAUCCGCGCCGCAUUAGCUAGUUGGUAAGGUAACGGCUUACCAAGGCAACGAUGCGUAGCCGACCUGAGAGGGUGAUCGGCCACACUGGAACUGAGACACGGUCCAGACGCCUACGGGAGGCAGCAGUAGGGAAUCUUCCGCAAUGGGCGAAAGCCUGACGGAGCAACGCCGCGUGAGUGAUGAAGGUCUUCGGAUCGUAAAACUCUGUUAUUAGGGAAGAACAAAUGUGUAAGUAACGAUGCACGUCUUGACGGUACCUAAGCAGAAAGCCACGGCUAACUACGU
This 496-nucleotide ribosomal RNA is filed under the name uncultured bacterium. Its description in RNAcentral is "partial 16S ribosomal RNA". It matches the Rfam family "Bacterial small subunit ribosomal RNA", at positions 28 to 506 of the family's 1533-position model. The record is from RNAcentral.